GGGUCUUUCCUGCGUUACCGAGAGCCUCCUCCUCCGUUUUCCGCAUUUGGGGUGAAGUUUGACCCACGCAGGCCACGCGCCUGUUCCUCUCAGCAGUAGAAACCCCAAUGGCAGGCUGAGGUCCCCAUCUGCAAAGGCCUCCGAGCUCCUCUGAACGGACGAGGAGGUAUUUCUUCAGCCAGCGACAAGUGGUCUUUAAGGUAAAAGUCAAGCUUUAACCUUACACGUGCCUGUUCUUUCUCAUUUGAUUUCUUUCUCGUUUAAUAUCCUUAGGCUGAUAAAUUUAAGACGUUUUGUAUUGUCAUCAGGCAGAAAUGCCUUCUGUCCUUUCUGUCCUGAACGGCUCUUUAUCAUGUGUUUAAGAUGAUAAAUGACUCCCCCUUUUUCUCUCUUCUCCCGAGAGCCUGAAUCUUUGAUCUCUGGGACUAAAAGCUGACAAAGGGAAACCGCUAUGCGAACAGGGAGGCCGGAGGGUUCGUCCCCAAGCGGUUCUGGCGCGAGCUUCAUCCCGCAGCAGCGAUCUUGGCCGGCGAUCCGGGGGAAGAGCCGCAGCCGUCGCCAGUCGGACUCGCAGACCUCUCUGCGGCGCGGGGGGCUGCGCAGGAGGAUGCUCGACCCCCGGCGUGAAACCAGUUUCCCCAGCUCCCGGACGGACCCAGGCAAUCCGGCGGAGGGGAGGCGGAAAGUGCACAGCGGAGACGUGCCCCCAGCGCCCCGGCGAGGAGGAAGCAAGCUGUAGCUGCACAGAAAAACUCCAAAACCUGCCAAGUCAAGACCUUCUCAAAUCCGGAGGAAGGUGGAAAGAAUCCAAAUUCACCACUCGCAAAAGAAAAAUGAACCCCGGUUUUAAAAACGCAGCCGGGCAGGCGAGCUGCGUGCCCGCUUGGCCGUUCGCCGCCG
Struthio camelus australis is the source of this 900-nucleotide non-coding RNA. The record is from RefSeq and is a predicted model, not a curated record. Lineage: Eukaryota; Metazoa; Chordata; Aves; Struthioniformes; Struthionidae.